GACAGAGGUCCCGAGCGUUAGGCGGAAUCACUGGGCUUAAAGCGUGUGUAGGCGGAUCGUUAAGUACCUUGUGAAAUCCCACGGCUCAACCGUGGAACGGCUGGGUAUACUGCCUGUCUUGAGCCAGCUAGGGGCGACCGGAACAGACGGUGGAGCGGUGAAAUGCGUAGAUAUCGUCUGGAACGCCAAAGGUGAAAACAGGUCGCUGGGGCUGAGCUGACGCUGAGACACGAAAGCCAGGGGAGCGAACGGG
Molecule: ribosomal RNA, 253 nt
Filed under: uncultured bacterium
Lineage: Bacteria
Description: partial 16S ribosomal RNA
Rfam family: Bacterial small subunit ribosomal RNA
Source: RNAcentral